AUUGAACGCUGGCGGCAGGCCUAACACAUGCAAGUCGAGCGGAUGAAGGGAGCUUGCUCCUGGAUUCAGCGGCGGACGGGUGAGUAGUGCCUAGGAAUCUGCCUGGUAGUGGGGGAUAACGUCCGGAAACGGGCGCUAAUACCGUAUACGUCCUGAGGGAGAAAGUGGGGGAUCUUCGGACCUCACGCUAUCAGAUGAGCCUAGGUCGGAUUAGCUAGUUGGUGGGGUAAAGGCCUACCAAGGCGACGAUCCGUAACUGGUCUGAGAGGAUGAUCAGUCACACUGGAACUGAGACACGGUCCAGACUCCUACGGGAGGCAGCAGUGGGGAAUAUUGGACAAUGGGCGAAAGCCUGAUCCAGCCAUGCCGCGUGUGUGAAGAAGGUCUUCGGAUUGUAAAGCACUUUAAGUUGGGAGGAAGGGCAGUAAGUUAAUACCUUGCUGUUUUGACGUUACCAACAGAAUAAGCACCGGCUAACUUCGUG
Molecule: ribosomal RNA, 484 nt
Filed under: uncultured bacterium
Lineage: Bacteria
Description: partial 16S ribosomal RNA
Rfam family: Bacterial small subunit ribosomal RNA
Source: RNAcentral